This is a long non-coding RNA of Amblyraja radiata (thorny skate), 118 nucleotides long. RefSeq lists it as uncharacterized. The record is from RefSeq and is a predicted model, not a curated record. NCBI's taxonomy places the organism in Eukaryota, Metazoa, Chordata, Chondrichthyes, Rajiformes, Rajidae. The transcript has 2 exons.
CUUUUUUAUCGGGGAACCUAAAGAAUGACAGCUCUGGUCGUUUAGAUUUACGAUUAGAACAAUUGAUAGCAGAGCAGUGAGAUGAACAUUUAGAUGAGGAUGCCAUUACAGCCCAAUA